AAAGUAUAUAAAUGGGAUUUCUAUUCAACUAUUUUAGCAUAAAACUGGUCAACUUCAAGGUUUAAUAAUGCCCCUCCUAUAUAUCCAGUUGCUAGACACCUAAUUGGUAUGAUCAUCCUCUCAUUCUUCAAUAGGCAGGGUCGCAGGGAUAACACUAUAGCUCAGAACAGAAGAAAUAACUCAUAUAAUAGUAUUCUUAGGAGAAAUCUGAAUGCCUGGGGAGUUAGAAGGUAUGACAGAAUAUCUCAGAGUGCUAUCCAAUCGCCAGUGUCCAAGCCACCCUACACUAACGUCGAAAAUGCACCAGCACAAGUAUCUCGUAACUCUACGCCACCUUACCAAGCUCGACAAUGCACCAACACAAGUAUUUGGUUACUCUACCCACUAACCUUUAAGCAAAUAGAAGAAGAAAUACCUAUAGUGUUUUCAACUUGAAUUUGACAUUCCAAAAGCACUAUGUUAUUCGAUUUUUUGGGAUAAAUGAAAAUAGCUUCUUGUGAUUUUGAAAAAGAACAAUCGAAAGGAAAUACUAACUUUUUAUUAAUGAACACAUACAUAUACCCAAACGGAAAACAACAAC
This 580-nucleotide long non-coding RNA is filed under the name Solanum tuberosum (potato). Its description in RNAcentral is "long non-coding RNA (STUB_LNC000880)". Lineage: Eukaryota; Viridiplantae; Streptophyta; Magnoliopsida; Solanales; Solanaceae. The record is from RNAcentral.